RNAcentral lists this ribosomal RNA (1429 nucleotides) under uncultured bacterium. RNAcentral describes it as "partial 16S ribosomal RNA". It matches the Rfam family "Bacterial small subunit ribosomal RNA". The record is from RNAcentral.
UUAGAGUUUGACCUGGCUCAGGACGAACGCUGGCGGCGUGCCUAAUACAUGCAAGUCGAGCGAGCUGAACCAGCAGAUUCACUUCGGUGAUGACGCUGGGAACGCGAGCGGCGGAUGGGUGAGUAACACGUGGGUAACCUGCCCUAAAGUCUGGGAUACCACUUGGAAACAGGUGCUAAUACCGGAUAACAACAAUAGCUGCAUGGCUAUUGCUUAAAAGGCGGCGAAAGCUGUCGCUAAAGGAUGGACCCGCGGUGCAUUAGCUAGUUGGCAAGGUAAUGGCUUACCAAGGCGACGAUGCAUAGCCGAGUUGAGAGACUGAUCGGCCACAUUGGGACUGAGACACGGCCCAAACUCCUACGGGAGGCAGCAGUAGGGAAUCUUCCACAAUGGGCGAAAGCCUGAUGGAGCAACGCCGCGUGAGUGAAGAAGGUUUUCGGAUCGUAAAGCUCUGUUGUUGGUGAAGAAGGAUAGAGGUAGUAACUGGCCCCUAUUUGACGGUAAUCAACCAGAAAGUCACGGCUAACUACGUGCCAGCAGCCGCGGUAAUACGUAGGUGGCAAGCGCUGUCCGGAUUUAUUGGGCGUAAAGCGAGCGCAGGCGGAAAGAUAAGUCUGAUGUGAAAGCCCCCGGCUUAACCGAGGAAUUGCAUCGGAAACUGUGUUUCUUGAGUGCAGAAGAGGAGAGUGGAACUCCAUGUGUAGCGGUGGAAUGCGUAGAUAUAUGGAAGAACACCAGUGGCAAAGGGGGGCUCACUGGACUGUAACUGACGUUGGGGCUCGAAAGCGUGGGGGAGCAAACAGGAUUAGAUACCCUGGUAGUCCACGCCGUAAAACGAUGAUUACUAGGUGUCGGGGGGCCAAGGUCCUUCGGUGCCGGCGCAAACACAUUAAGUAAUCCACCUGGGGAGUACGUUCGCAAGAAUGAAACUCAGAGGAAUUGACGGGGACCCGCACAAGCGGUGGAGCAUGUGGUUUAAUCCGAAGCAACGCGAAGAACCUUACCCGGCCUUGACAUCCCGAUGAAUGUACAGUAAUGUGUACAGGACUUCGGUACAUCGGAGACAGGUGGUGCAUGGUUGUCGUCAGCUCGUGUCGUGAGAUGUUGGGUUAAGUCCCGCAACGAGCGCAACCCCUGCCCUCAGUAGCCAGCAGGUAAAGCUGGGAACUCUGAGGGGACUGCCCGGGAUAACCGGGAGGAAGGCGGGGAUGACGUCAAAUCAUCAUGCCCCUUAUGGCCGGGGCUACACACGUGCUACAAUGGCGGAAACAGAGGGAAGCAGCCCCGUGAGGGUGAGCGAACCCCAAAAAUACCGCCUCAGUUCGGAUUGUAGUCUGCAACCCGACUACAUGAAGCCGGAAUCGCUAGUAAUCGCGAAUCAGAAUGUCGCGGUGAAUACGUUCCCGGGUCUUGCACUCACCGCCCGUCA